This 440-nucleotide ribosomal RNA is filed under the name uncultured bacterium. Its description in RNAcentral is "partial 16S ribosomal RNA". It matches the Rfam family "Bacterial small subunit ribosomal RNA", at positions 338 to 795 of the family's 1533-position model. The record is from RNAcentral.
CCUACGGGUGGCAGCAGUGGGGAAUAUUGCACAAUGGGGGAAACCCUGAUGCAGCGACGCCGCGUGAAGGAAGAAGUAUUUCGGUAUGUAAACUUCUAUCAGCAGGGAAGAAAAUGACGGUACCUGACUAAGAAGCCCCGGCUAACUACGUGCCAGCAGCCGCGGUAAUACGUAGGGGGGAAGCGUUAUCCGGAUUUACUGGGUGUAAAGGGAGCGUAGGCGGUGUAGCAAGUCAGAAGUGAAAGCCCGGGGCUCAACACCGGGACUGCUUUUGAAACUGUUGACCUGGAGUGCAGGAGAGGUAAGUGGAAUUCGUAGUGUAGCGGUGAAAUGCGUAGAUAUUAGGAGGAACACCAGUGGCGAAGGCGGCUUACUGGACUGUAAAUGACGCUGAGGCUCGAAAGCGUGGGGAGCAAACAGGAUUAGAUACCCCAGUAGUC